RNAcentral lists this ribosomal RNA (582 nucleotides) under Botryosphaeria dothidea. RNAcentral's name for it is "eukaryotic LSU rRNA". The stretch from base 210 to 363 matches the Rfam family "5.8S ribosomal RNA". Lineage: Eukaryota; Fungi; Ascomycota; Dothideomycetes; Botryosphaeriales; Botryosphaeriaceae. The record is from RNAcentral.
UCCGUAGGUGAACCUGCGGAAGGAUCAUUACCGAGUUGAUUCGGGCUCCGGCCCGAUCCUCCCACCCUUUGUGUACCUACCUCUGUUGCUUUGGCGGGCCGCGGUUCUCCGCGGCCGCCUCCCUCCCCGGGGGGUGGCCAGCACCCGCCAGAGGACCAUCAAACUCCAGUCAGUAAACGAUGCAGUCUGAAAAACAUUUAAUAAACUAAAACUUUCAACAACGGAUCUCUUGGUUCUGGCAUCGAUGAAGAACGCAGCGAAAUGCGAUAAGUAAUGUGAAUUGCAGAAUUCAGUGAAUCAUCGAAUCUUUGAACGCACAUUGCGCCCUUUGGUAUUCCGAAGGGCAUGCCUGUUCGAGCGUCAUUACUACCCUCAAGCUCUGCUUGGUAUUGGGCACCGUCCUUUGCGGGCGCGCCUCAAAGACCUCGGCGGUGGCGUCUUGCCUCAAGCGUAGUAGAACAUACAUCUCGCUUCGGAGCGCAGGGCGUCGCCCGCCGGACGAACCUUCUGAACUUUUCUCAAGGUUGACCUCGGAUCCGGUAGGGAUACCCGCUGAACUUAAGCAUAUCAAUAAGCGGAGGA